RNAcentral lists this long non-coding RNA (1398 nucleotides) under Homo sapiens (human). Its description in RNAcentral is "HSALNT0087860". Lineage: Eukaryota; Metazoa; Chordata; Mammalia; Primates; Hominidae. The record is from RNAcentral.
GAAACAGCAUUCUGGCAAAUCACAGGCAUUUAAUAAGCAGCCACUCAGCCCCAGGGGCCAUGUUGGACAUUGUGGGUUGAAGAUCUCCCGACCUUGAAGGACUUUCCGGUGUAGGGGACACAGGUGUGCUGAAGAAGUCUGUUCAAGUUCCAGCAGGGAGCCACCAAUUCUGGAAAGUUGGAGAAAGUUCUACAUGCUGAAGCCAUAGGGAAGAGUGAUGCAUCUAAUGAGCCUGCUGAAGAGUGAAGGCAAUGAGAGUCCACCUGUUCAAUCUGCUGUCUGCCUGAAGGCAGGAUGGGCUACAUCAAUGGGCUCCAAUACUCUCUGCCUUCUGGCUGGGUUUGGCAAGUGGGAGGCCGUGCAGAGAAACAGAAGGAAGUUGACAGUGACCUCAGCAUAUUCACUCAACUGACACCUCUCUAACAGAUUACCUCAGGCUGACUGCAUCCCCCAGUUGAAGAUGACAUCUUCUCUCAAGGCAGCCUCCUCUAUGUGACUCUCCUUCCAGGUUCUGGUAGCUGCUUCCUUCCCCAAAGCUCCAGACCCAGGGAUGACAGCAGCUCUGCUGAUAUUUGCCCUGGGAUAAUGCACCAUCUCUUAUGCCUCCUGUAUGUCCACAGCUCCACAAGGAGUCACUCUGUAAAUAAACCCUUGCAAAAUCAUGCCAGUUUGCCUGUGACAUCUGCUUCCUUAACUGACAGAGCUCUUUAUAAAACAGAGGUGAAAAACUGAAGGACAAAACCAUUGUUAAAGGAAAGUAGAAUCCCAGGACCCCAAACUCACUAUGCCAGAGAAAGUUAAGCUUGGCAAAUGAGUCACAUAAAAACCGCCUUCCGUUUGUUCCCAAACAAAUAGCUGUAAUUUCACAUGCUUACUUUAGCUGAUGUAAAAUGUAGAUUUACUGGGCCCCAGAUGAAUGCAUAAUUGACUUUUCUCUACUCAUGUGUAAAAUGUAGAUUUACCAAGCACUAACCAGAACCUCACAAGAAUGUAACCACUUGCCUUGUUGCUUACUUUUUUCUCUUCCCUCCUGCUUGCUCUUUCCCUUUUAAAUACCAAAGUUCCCAAAACUCUCUUUGGAAAAAGCACAGGUCACAAAUUCUACUAUGAGCUGUGUUUGUUUUUCCUGGGUGCUUUCUCAGCCUUGGCAAAAUAAACUUCUAAUUCAUUGAGAUCUGCCUCAGUCACUUUUUGGUUUGCACUUUCUUCUCCUCUCCACCUAGAAAAAGAAUCAUAGAUAGUGUAUUCAAAGUGUAUUGUGCCCUAACGCAUAAAGUACACGUCAAAUGAGAGGUUUUUACGUUUGUACGACUGAUUUUUGAGACAGGGUCUUGCUCUGUCACCCAGGCUGGAGUGCAGUGAUGUGAUCAAAAUUCAAGGCAGCCUCGACCUCCCCUG